GUGGAUUAGAUACCCGGGUAGUCCACGCUGUAAACGAUGGAUACUAGCUGUUUGGUUGUAAGACUGAGUGGCUAAGCGAAAGUGAUAAGUAUCCCACCUGGGGAGUACGAACGCAAGUUUGAAACUCAAAGGAAUUGACGGGGGCCCGCACAAGCGGUGGAGCAUGUGGUUUAAUUCGAUGAUACGCGAGGAACCUUACCAGGGCUUAAAUGUAGUAUGACAGGUUUGGAAACAGACUUUUCUUCGGACAUAUUACAAGGUGCUGCACGGCCGUCGCCAGCU
RNAcentral lists this ribosomal RNA (282 nucleotides) under uncultured bacterium. RNAcentral describes it as "partial 16S ribosomal RNA". It matches the Rfam family "Bacterial small subunit ribosomal RNA", at positions 773 to 1060 of the family's 1533-position model. The record is from RNAcentral.